AUACGGAGGGAUCGAACGUUAAUCGGAAUUACUGGGCGUAAAGCGCGCGUAGGCGGCUUGUUAAGUGAGAUGUGAAAGCCCCGGGCUUAACCUGGGAACUGCAUUUCAAACUGGCAAGCUAGAGUAUGGUAGAGGGUGGUAGAAUUUCCUGUGUAGCGGUGAAAUGCGUAGAUAUAGGAAGGAAUACCGAUGGCGAAGGCAGCCACCUGGACCAAUACUGACGCUGAGGUGCGAAAGCGUGGGGAGCAAACAGGAUUAGAAACCCGGGUAGUCC
This 274-nucleotide ribosomal RNA is filed under the name uncultured bacterium. Its description in RNAcentral is "partial 16S ribosomal RNA". It matches the Rfam family "Bacterial small subunit ribosomal RNA", at positions 523 to 796 of the family's 1533-position model. The record is from RNAcentral.